Molecule: ribosomal RNA, 230 nt
Filed under: uncultured bacterium
Lineage: Bacteria
Description: partial 16S ribosomal RNA
Rfam family: Bacterial small subunit ribosomal RNA
Source: RNAcentral
AAAGCGUGCGCAGGCGGUUAUAUAAGACAGAUGUGAAAUCCCCGGGCUCAACCUGGGAACUGCAUUAGUGACUGCAUAGCUGGAGUACGGCAGAGGGGGAUGGAAUUCCGCGUGUAGCAGUGAAAUGCGUAGAUAUGCGGAGGAACACCGAUGGCGAAGGCAAUCCCCUGGGCCUGUACUGACGCUCAUGCACGAAAGCGUGGGGAGCAAACAGGAUUAGAUACCCUUGU